AUGGGCAACUGCAAGAGUUCAUCUCGUGCACUCCUAGGAAAGGCCCAUGUUGUUCCGGAUCCAGAAUGGAGGAUUCGGGACUUCGGAAAGACCCAUGUUCCAGAUUUCGAAUGGAGGAUUGAUGACUUCUCAAUGCUUAAGACUGGAGCUAAGAGAGCAACAUCUGGCCCUUUUCACUGCUCUGGUUAUAACUGGGACCUGCAAGUGAGUCUAAUGCAUAAAGAAGCUGGUUCUGUAACUCCAUAUGUUGCCCUUCGUCUUGCGUCAUCCACACUAAGCUUGGUGCCAGCUCACACAGUGCAUGCGGUGUUUGAGUUGUCAAUAUGCAACCAUUCAAAAGGAAUGUACUAUGGAUGCAAAGCUAGCUACAACUUUGAUUUCAAGAAUUUCUACUCGAAGGAGCAUUGCUUGAUUCCUCUUAAGAAGCUGCUGAAAUCAUCUGCUUUUCUAGUUGAUGAUGGUUGUGUCUUUGCUGUGGAGAUAUUAAAAAUUGAUGUCUGCUCUCCUGAAAAGAAGGCUGUUGUGGUUCAGAAGAAGGCUACCACAGUUCAGAACCUCUUUGUCCAGGAGAAGGGGUUCGUCAAAGGGACAUACACCUGGAACAUGAACAAUUUCCUUGAACUGGACUUGGAUCACUGUGUCCGUUCUCCUACAUUUGAAGUUGGCGGGCAUAAAUGGUGCAUCAGCAUGUACCCGCGUGGUGACUUGUACAGCACUGAUUGCCUCAGCUUGUACUUAUCCCUGGAUGCCUCGAAUGAGCUCCAUCUCGAGUCCAAGAAGGUGGCUGUAAUGACUCUGUCCAUCCUGAACCAAAAGAAUGGGAAACACUUGACUAAAACUUCAGGUCUCUUCAUAUGUGAUGGCGGAUGGGGUUGGCCUAACUUUCUUGCUCUCAAGAAACUCAAGAAAGGCUAUGUUGUAGGGUCGAGCUGCAUUGUGAAGGCAGAUCUCACUAUCGUUGGUUUAUCCAAUGAUGGCUAG
RNAcentral lists this ribosomal RNA (981 nucleotides) under Triticum aestivum (bread wheat). Its description in RNAcentral is "partial small subunit ribosomal RNA". The record is from RNAcentral. Lineage: Eukaryota; Viridiplantae; Streptophyta; Magnoliopsida; Poales; Poaceae.